UCAUUGCGGUGAUGAGUUAUGAAUUUUCGCAUGUCAGACUUCGGAGAUGCUUCUGGCAUCCAUGAGAAGUAAUAUCAUACGACUGAGCAAUGG
Molecule: small nucleolar RNA, 93 nt
Organism: Lolium perenne
Lineage: Eukaryota; Viridiplantae; Streptophyta; Magnoliopsida; Poales; Poaceae
Product: small nucleolar RNA R64/Z200 family
Source: RefSeq, a predicted model, not a curated record